Molecule: non-coding RNA, 230 nt
Filed under: Clostridiales bacterium
Lineage: Bacteria; Bacillati; Bacillota; Clostridia; Eubacteriales
Description: 6S RNA
Rfam family: 6S / SsrS RNA
About the family: E. coli 6S RNA was the first non coding RNA to be sequenced, but its function was unknown until recently. It consists of 184 nucleotides that fold into an extended hairpin structure with a large single-stranded internal bulge.
Source: RNAcentral
CAUUGCCUGCCCUGUGCGUGAUAUCGCGUGUAUAAAACCCACAAUUGAAAAUACGGAUCCGGCUUUUGCAGUGGGAAUGCAGGCCUCUUGCCUUGUCCGCGACUGUGCCACCUGUGGCACGGUCCCGAUGAGACGCAAACGUUGGUUGCACAAAGCUGCAAAGAGGAUACCGACCUUGUGGAUACGCAAGGGUUUUCAAUCCACGCUUUACACGGCACGGCGGGUAUUUU